UAGGGAAUCUUCCACAAUGGACGCAAGUCUGAUGGAGCAACGCCGCGUGAGUGAAGAAGGUUUUCGGAUCGUAAAGCUCUGUUGUUGGUGAAGAAGGAUAGAGGUAGUAACUGGCCUUUAUUUGACGGUAAUCAACCAGAAAGUCACGGCUAACUACGUGCCAGCAGCCGCGGUAAUACGUAGGUGGCAAGCGUUGUCCGGAUUUAUUGGGCGUAAAGCGAGCGCAGGCGGAAGAAUAAGUCUGAUGUGAAAGCCCUCGGCUUAACCGAGGAAUUGCAUCGGAAACUGUUUUUCUUGAGUGCAGAAGAGGAGAGUGGAACUCCAU
RNAcentral lists this ribosomal RNA (325 nucleotides) under uncultured bacterium. RNAcentral's name for it is "partial 16S ribosomal RNA". It matches the Rfam family "Bacterial small subunit ribosomal RNA", at positions 355 to 672 of the family's 1533-position model. The record is from RNAcentral.